This 22452-nucleotide long non-coding RNA is filed under the name Marmota monax (woodchuck). The record is from RNAcentral. Lineage: Eukaryota; Metazoa; Chordata; Mammalia; Rodentia; Sciuridae.
CUUGAGGUAAAUACUCAACAUUUUUAAUUUUUCUAGUUAAUUCUUUGACAUAAGUUACUUCGUAACUGUGAUUGAAUUUCCAAAUAUUAAAGAUUUUGAAGUAUUAUUAUUUAUCUUCUAGUCUAUUUAUAGUUUAGAAAAGGAGCACAAUAUGUACGACUUUAUUGUGCUGGAAUUAAUCAAUACUUAUUUAUGUAUCAGCAUUUGGGCUAUCUUGUAAAACAUUCCAUGUGUGCUUACAAUGCAUACUCUGUAUUUAUUUGUUUUGACAUUUCACAAUUGGCAACAAAAUAAAGCUGUUGGUAGUGUUCAGAUCACCAAUAUUGUUAAUGAUGUUCCUUAUUCUAUUAUUUGCAAAGACAUUGGUUUUAAAGGCUCAAAAUGUUUGUAUAUUUGGCUAGUUCUCUGUUUUGUCCUAUAAUUAUUCUCCCUUUAUAUAUAUUGAAGCAUAGAUAUUGCAUUCAUAUGCUAUUCAAAGUGUUAUGAUUUUCCUCAUGGUUUAACAUUUUAAAGAGAUAUUUCUUAUUCACCUUUAAAAAUACUUCUGGUUCUAAAGUCUACUACAUAUAGUACUAUUGCAGCACCCUUAUUUUUCUUACAUAUAUUAUCUUCACAAUAAUCUGUUGCCUCCAUUUUACUUUAACAUAAUAUUUGUAUGUUUAUUUAAAUUAUACUACUUAUAAAAAACAUAAAUUGUUUUUUAAAAAUAAUUCUUAUAAUCUUUGCCUUGUAACUAUAGAAUAUAAUUCAUUUUUAUUUAAUAUAAUUAUUUGUUUAGAUUAAGGUCUAUCAUCUAUCUUUUUUUUCUGGUUCUCAAUUUGAUUUUUUUUUUCAAUUCCUUACUUAUUGCUUUGUUUUUCAUUAAUCAAAUAUUUUUAGUAUGUUUUUUAAAUGUUUCCAUUUCUUUUAUUUUAGUAUUAUCAUUUUAAAUUUGUUCUGGAAAAUAAAGCACUAAUUUAUCACAAUAUUCUUACUGUUUAGAGUAUUUUAUUAUAUUUGACUACAUUCUAUAUAUACUGGUAUGCAUUAUGAUUUCCUUUGUCUUCUUUUGAUUUCAUAUUUUAAAAUAUUUCAUUAAUAAUAAAAUUCAAUCUUGUUAAAUUUACUUUAAAUAAUCUUUUGUCUUUAAGUGAAAUUAAGACAUAAAAGGUAAUAGUUUAUGUUCUCCAUAUAUUUACCAUUCAAAGUGUUUACCUUCUUCUUUCCUGUAGAUCUGGAUUGUAUCUAGUGUGGCUUACCUCUAAGCUGAAUAUUUUCCUUGAUAAUCUUAUAGUUCAGCUCUAAUGGUGACCAAUGCUCUUAGAUUUUGUUUAUAUAUAAAAAAUUGACCUUAUUUUUUCAUAGACGUUUUGUUGGAUAUAAAGUAUGGUCUAAAAUUUAUUUUUGAUUUUAGUUCUUCAAAGAUCUUUUUAUUGUAUUUAAUUUCUAUCAUCUCUAGUCAAGAGUCUGUUAUUAUUUGUGUUAUUGUCACAUUUUGUAUAAUGUAUCUCUGUUUCCAAUGGCUGAUUUUCCUCUUUGUCUUAGGCUUCCUUAAGCUUCACUAUAUUCUCCCUAGGUAUAGUUGUCUAAAAAAUCCCAUUUCUUAGGUUUUACAGAGAUUGUUGGAUCUGCAAGUUGAUGUUUCUUUAUAUUUCACAAAUUUGGAAAACUUGAAAUUAUUAUUUCUUCAAACAUAUUUUUCUGUACUAUUUCUCCUCUUCUUGCAGAACUUGAAUUACAUGUAUAUUAGAUUGUUUUAUCUUGCCCCACUGGUCAUUUACACUUUCUUAAAUAAUUUUCUGUUUUCUGUCCUUUGUUCAUAUUUUUGAAUACCUAUUCAUCUAUUUUUAAGUCACUUCAUUCUUUUGAGUUUUAAUCUAUCCUAAGUCUACCAAGUGGAUAAAUCACUUCAGAUAUUGUACUUUUGGUUUGGGAAUUUUCAAUUAGCUUUUUUCUAUAAUAGCUUUCAUUUAUCUGUUCAGAUUCAUUAUUGUGGUCUUUCCCUGAAACUUUCUGAACAUAUCUCUAAUAAGUUCAUCAAAAGUUCUUGACAGCUAAUCCAACCUAUUGAUUUUUGAAGGCUUCUUACUUUUCUUUUCUUUGAAUUGUCACAACAUGAUUAUACAAAAUAGUGGAAUUCAUUGUGUCAUAUUUAUACAUGCCCAUAACAUAAUUUGCUCCAUCUCAUUUUUCAAGACCUUCUUUUUCACCACCUUUCUUCCCUCCCUCAAUCUACUAGGUCUACUCUACUAAUUCCCUUCUAUUAUUAUUAUUAUUAUUAUUAUUAAUAAUUAGUGCAUUAUAUUAUGUACAUAUUUGUAUAUAUAUAUGUGAUUCAUGUGGUACAUUUGUACAUGCACUUAGCAAAAUUUGGUAGAUUUUAUUCUAUAAUUCCUCCCCUUUUGAAUCCCUCCUUCUUCCCCCUCAGUUCCUUCUUCUCUUGUUUUCCCUUUUAUUUUCAGAGACACCCCCUCUUUAAAUUCCUUAUUUCUCUCUAGCUUUCACUAGCUUCUGCAGAUGAGAGAAAACAUGGGAUCAUUGGCUUUCUGAGUCUGGCUUAUUUCACUUGGCAUGAUGUUCUCCAGUUCCAUUUCCCAGCACAUGAUAUAAUUUAAUUCUUUAUGGCUGAAUAAACUCUGUUGUGUAUAUAUACCACAUUUUCUUUAUCUAUUAAUCUGUUGACAGACGACUAUGCUGGUUCCAUAACUUGCCUGUUAUAAAUUGUGCUGUUAUAAACAUUGGCAUGCAUGUAUCUCUAUAGUAUGCUGAUUUUAGUUCUUUUGAAAGAAUACCAAGAGGAAGGAUGUCUAGAUCGUGCUCCUAGUCUUUUGACUGAUCUUAGUUUUUUUUUUUUUGAAAGUGGUUAUACUAAUUUUCAGUCCCACUAACAAUAUAUAAUUGUACUGUUUUUUCCACAUCCCUCCUACCAUUUAUUUUAUUUAUAUUCUUGAAGAUUGCUAAUGUUCAUUUUCAAAUUGAUUACAUUCUUUAAGUUUUAAUCAUAUUAUUACACACUUGCAUGUCUAGUAAUUAUUUUUUUUUGUAAGCUAUACAAUGUGGUUGUACAUUAUAGUGAGUCUAACUCUAUGACUUGUGACCAUUUUCUUGCAGGAUGAAGUGGUAAGUGCUUUCAACUGGGAGUUAGACAGUCUCUUUCAUAACUACCUAACUCUGUGUUAUAAUGGGAAAGAAGCAACAUAAAAUACUUGAACAAAGGGACAUGGCUAUGUUCCAAUUUAACUUUAUUUACAACACCAGGUGUCUUGCCUGUGGAAUGUAUUUUCCUUAACCCUUCCUGAGAGCAUGUCACUUUGUUGUAAAUGGUGUUCAGCCUCAUUAUGGCAGGUAGUUUGAUUAUUGGCAGAUUUUCUCUUGUCCUGUCAGUCUUGCUUAUUCUUUAUUUUAAUGGCUCUAUAUCAGUUCUGCACUGAUUUUUUUCCUUAAGUAGUUUUCUUAUACCCAAAGUCUGAGGGCUUUUCAGAUAUUUACUGAACAGCAAAGCUGUUCAGAAAAGUCUCUUAGGCUGAUUAUAACUUUGGGUGUUGCCAUUGGACAGUCAACUUAACAUGAAAUGGGUACUUAUGGGCAUUUUAAUCUCAUUUCUGCAUUCCUAGGACAGCUCCUAACCAAGCUAUGCUUCACAUCUUUAUGCAGAGUCUGUUCUCUAUGCUGCUCUUUCUCAUCCAGUACUUUGCUUGGAAAUUCCAGCCCCUUUAACUGCGUUGAACUCUAAUCUCUGCAUCUGCAGCUCAGCAGCACUGUUAGUUUGUGCUCCACCUCCCUGUGCCCCUAAAAGCUAUAAUAUCCUUAGAAAGCAACCAGGGUUCCUGCAGUAAUUGCCUCAGUAUACACAGUCUUGCAUUGCCUGUUGCUUAACACUUGCAAACCAUUGUUGCAUGUAUGUUUUUCAUAUUUAUAGUUAUUUUCUUUUGAUGAGAGGACACAUGCAAUAUCAGUUAUUUUGUAAAGAAUAAAAGUAAAAAAUCCACUGACAUUUUGCCAAAAUAUUCUUCAAUUUUUUGAAUGAGACUUCAUUCAAAUCUCCUGAAAUUAGACUUUUGGAAUAUGUCACCAUGCUUAUGUCAUUGGAUAUUGGCUACUCAAUAUUUUACUGUGAUGUUUAGAAUAUAUUCAGGGUAUAUUUGUGUGGGUGAAAUAUAAUCACCUGAAUAAACAACCAUUAGUAGCAGCUCUUCAACAAUUGUACAAGUGAAGUGUAAAAAGUAAAGGGGUUUAAUAUUUAAGGAAAAAUGUACAUUUGAAUAAUUAUUUUUUAGACAACAUUUUUGAUGUAAUUCUUAAAUUUCCCUACACAAUUCCAAGUUUUACUGUUCUUCAGAAUCCCCUAUAAAUAAGUUAGUACUUUUCUUAGGAUUCUUCAUAUUUGUCUCUGAAUUGUGAAAGCCCUAGCUUUGAAAUCUACAAUUAAAAUAAUGUACUUGGGAUAAUCAUCAUUAGUAAAUCUUACUUUAAGAAAAUAAUUAAGUAAUUAAACAUAGAAAUUAGAAACAUGGUGUUUCUACUGUAAAUAGUGCAUUAGUAAUCUGGUCAAGAAUAUGAUUUCAUAGACAAAUAAUUUGGCAGAAUAUCAGAAGAGUGGUCUCUACUUUGAGAAGUCUUGCCCUAGCAUUUAUUCUUGUGUUCAAAAUUUUCUUGGCCUACGUAAAGUGGAAGAUUGGAGUAGAGCUUCAAUCUGCAUAGAAGGUAUCUGGAAUGCUUUUCCAGAACACAGAUUUCUGGUGCGUCCAUCCAGAUAUUAUGCAUAUUGAAGAUUUAGAAUCUUUAAAAGAAGUGUUCUCUAAUAUCACAUUCAUAUCCAAAGUCUACACAGAGGUGACAUGUAGUAUUGCAAUAUCACUAACCAGCAAAAUAAUUUCUACAAUUCCUAUGGUUAUUAAAGCAAAACAUUCUCUGAAAAAAAUAACAGAUGUGGCAAAUAAAAGGAUUUUAAGUUGUUGUUAAAAAUAUAAUACCCAGAAACCAAUUUAAACCCAGCAUUAUUUGUGGAGGAAGUUCAUGUUCUACCAUUUAGUCUGAAGAAGAAAGCUCAACCUUUUUAUUAACUUUAAUAGACACCUAAUAAACAAAUUUUGAAAACAAUUUACAUGUAGAAUAUUACAUGGUUGGAAAAAUACACAGUGUAAAGAUUGACAUCAUUCUACAUGCAAAUUUUAUUAUAUAGACUAUUUUUAAAUUGUUAGGUUAUAUUUAAUGAUUUUUGCAUAAUUAUAAUUUAUGUGCCUUUCCCCUAAUUUGAUAUAAAGACAAAAAUUUUUAUGUUAAUCUACUAUAUUCAUGUUUCCAUAGAGAAUUCUAUUUCUAGGAGUAGAUAGUAUUUAUUUAUUCCUUUAUUUAUUGGUACCAGGUAUUGGAGUAGAUAGUAUUUAUUUAUUCCUUUAUUUAUUGGUACCAGGUAUUGACUUGGGGAACUUAACCACUGAGCAACAUCCCUAGCACUUUUUUAUUUUUAUUUUGACUCACGGUCUCACUAAGUUGCUUGGGCUUCACUAAAUUGCUAAGUCUGCCUUUGAACUUGCAGUCCUUCUGCCUCAGCCUCUGGAGCUGCUGGGAUUAGAGGCAUGUACCAUCAUGCCUAGCAAGGCAUUCCAUUGUUCUAUUCUUUUCUCACCCUUUACUUCCCAUGAGAGGGAGGAAUUGUAACCCAGUUCUCAAUUUGUUCCAUACUUGAUCCUUCUAAAGUUCUGACAUACACUGUUAGAGGCUUUGUAACCCAAAGUAUUAGGAAUAUAAUGAAUGGACACAUUAGGCUCUAUUACUUGUGAAGCACAUAGAUGACUACAAAUAAAUUGCUUUUAAAAUAAACCUUGUCAAAUUAUAGAAGUGUGGUAGAGAAACAUCCUUAUCUAGGUAAGAAGUAGAGUAGCAUUAUGCUGGGCAGGUUUUCUACAAGGAAGACCUCAUGUAAUUAACAUGACUCUGGCCCUUUAACUUUUAACAUGCUUCCCCAAUUAAGCUUUCAAGGCCUUGAACUACAGUAUCAGGCCGCAGCUGCUGGAAAUUGAUUUAUCCCAGAAGAUCAUUGGAGCUCCUGACCUCUCUGUUAGAGAAUUUUAUUUAGCUUUUUGGAUAUUUGCCUCCUUUUUGCCCUAGACGGAUGGUAAAAAAGGAAAGAUGAAAAUAUUUGCAAAUGUUCUAAGAGAUGCUUUCACUAUUUCAAUUUAUUUUUCAGACACUACAUAAUUGUACUUGGUCACUAUUGUGUGAAUGUAGAACUAUAGCUAUUUAAUGUUAUACACACUUGCAAAAGAAUAUAAAUCACAGGAAAUUUAGAAUGUUUAUUUUAUAAAUAUUACAAUAUUAUGAGGUGGCUGUUUUGUUUGUGUAUUAAAGUUUAUUUCAGACCAAUUCCUCAAAUUAAUAUUUCUAAUAUUAUUGUUGUUCCUAAAAAUAAUGUUUGUUUAAUUAUUGUUGUUUCUAAAAUUAAUGCCUCAGGAUUCAGUAAAUGAUAGCUGCAGGAUGAUCAUCCGAUUAAAUUGUGUUUGAAGAUAUACUAAAUAAUCAAAGAUUUUUACUUUGGAUUUAGAACUUGUAUGGUAUUUUCCAUUGGCAUAUAAUUUUUCCCCUCUUUAUUUAAAUAGAGUUUGCAAGGGCUGCAUAAAUCAGAGACAUGCCUGCUUUUUUAAAAGAGUUUCAGGCAAGGAUAUUCUGGGUUGACUGUGCUGAAAAAAACCUCCCUACACACAGCACCUUGUGUUUACGUGAGGUUUGCUGCUGCGAAGAUUCCUUCUGCAUCUGUGUCUUGGCAUGCAGGGGCCCCCUGGGACAAGGUGCCCUCUUGAGGGCUGUUUUUGCCAGCCCUGCAUUUUUGCUUCUGUCAUUCCCCUGCCAUGGUCCUAGUGGUUAUAACAAACCACAGGUGUUACAAACUCUAAAUUGGAAUUGGAUGUUGGAUUCAAAAAACUCAUGAUAAUUACACAGCUGUUUUAAAUUGUGGUUAAGUGGCCGAAAACUGCCAAGAAACCCCACCCACAUUCAUUACUGUCUAAACGAAAAGGACGUGUAUACAGUGAUUAUGAGGUUUCCUAUGAAUCCCCCAAGCCAUAGAGCAGACUUUCCUAAUUGUCAGCUGGACUGUGCAGUGCUUGUUUAAAAUAAUUAGACUGCAGCAGCAGCUUCAGCAGCAAACCUCAUUUUUUUUUUUUUAAUUCUCAGUGCAGGUUUUUAUAUCAGAUACUAUCAGCUUCCUGUUCAUUUUGACACUAUCAUUCUGCCAGUCUGGAAAAUGGGGAAGAGGAAAGAAAAGAAUUAUCCUUAAUGUACACAAAUAAUGCAGCUCAAAAGUCAGGAAGAUUCAGCUCUCUGUGUGAGAUGGAUGGAAACAAUUCAGCAAACAAAUCUAAACUGGGGGUGGGGGGGAGAUGUGGUUCACUCUUAUUUUUUUUUUCAAGAGGGAUAGCUGAAAUCUUUCUUAAUUACCGCUUAUUCCAAUGACAGAAUUGUAAUUUAUCAUUUAGUUGUAAUUUGACAUAUGUUCGCACCUUUGCCAUUUCCAAUUUCCUCCUUCAUUCUAAUUGUCUGCUUCACUCGCCUGUCAUGCGCUUCUCUUGGGAUUAAUUCGAGCUGUCUGUCUGCACCAGGCUACCAGCACACUUGGGGCUGCUGAGAGCGUGACAGUGUCAAUGUGCACACAGUUUAUCUAAGGCAUUACCCAGCCAUCACGCUCCCGGAUCCUCUCUUCCCUCACUGUUUACUGUUUAUUCCACUUUGCAUUUGUGACUUUUCCGUGUUUUAUUAGACUCUAAUUAUGCUCUUGGCUGUCAGCUGUAAAGAGAGAAAAUGUUACAUUAAUUACAGUGGAGGGGGAGGUGCUUGAGACUGUAAUAAAUGGACCAGUAGAUGUCUCUCUCUGUCUCUAAGAUCCGUGCAUGAUUUUAAUACUCUUCGUGUUCCACUUUGGUUUGAAUCCUUGAUAGAUGCCUAUACGCAAACAUACGUUCAGGCUUGUGCUGCUUUUAUAUGCAAACCACCCCCCAUCUCAUCUAAGACGAAGUAAAUUGGCUUAGUAAGACAGGGACUUCAGUUUUCAAAUAAUCAUUUUUUUAAAAGGUCAAUUGUUUAAUUCAUGGAUGGUUUCAACACAAACAUGUUGUGGAGUUGUGAUGGUAGGAAGCAUAUUCAGUGAGCAAUGAUAGAAUCCAAUAUUUCCAUAAAGGUAGAUGUUGUUUUGGUCCAUUAGAAACUGUUAAUAGUCUUUUUUUCCUCCAUCCUUCCUAGGGUCAUCACAAUCCAUUAAAAUCCAACAAUAAUUUCUGCCUAUGUCAUCUUUUUUUUUUUCUUUUGCCUUCAGAAAAAAAAUUCUUUCUAUUGCUUCCAGCCUACCUAAACCAUAAAAAUGCAAGUUUUCUGUUCUCCUGCUAAAUAGAUUUUUCAUUGUAACUAAAACUUCCUAGUAAUAGAAAGCAGAAGGAAGAGAUCGGCUCUGUGCCCCUUUAGGCCAUUAGGAAGGGAGGUAAUUUCAUUGAAUUAGUUCCAUCAUUUCUCCAUUGGCCUGAAAUAGUGAAAGUGAUUCCCUAGAAUAUCUAAUUAUCUAUGGAAAUGGACUCAUAUUUUGUUUUCUACUCUCAUAAUUUUCUCAGUCUUGCUUCAGGUAAUUGUGGGGCUGAAGAUAUUUGGUAGUCAUAUUUCUUUUCCUUAUUUUUUGUAAUCUUAGCAAUUAAAGUUCUGCUAAUUAUAUUUUUUGGCUUCCAACUCAGUUUUAAUUCUAUAUACUAGAAAACGCUGCAUAACUGCAUGAUCAUUAUUUCAACUUGUGAAAUUCCCAUAUUUCUGAAAAUAUACAUAUUAAACCAUAUUGCUAAGAGUUACAGUUCUUAUGGGAAACUAAGAAGGUAUAGGUGAAGAAAGUAACAGUCUAUAAAAUAUGAUAUUGGAAGACUAAAGUUGGGAACUAUUGUCUAGACUUUUUUGUUUGUUUGUUUGUUUUGUAAGUUUCACAUAAUAGGCCAGAAAUUUCUGGCAUUCACCUAAACUACCUUUACUACAUACAUUAUAUACUAAAGCAAUAUCUAAAAUAUGAAUAUCUUGGUGAUCAAAAGCAAUUCUUUGAUAAAUUUCAUUUUAAUUCUAAAAUAUUACUAAAGUCUAAAUUGAGCUUUGAAACUUUUGUGCAAAUAGAAUAGAGCCAAUUAUAGUAAAAAUCUCAGCAAUCAAUUAACUUCCUCUAGAAAAAGGAGUUUUAACAAAAAGGGGAGAGGCACAAGAGGAUGAACAAAGAUAGUAGGAGGGAAAAAACCAGGGACAAGUAACGGAUAACAAUUAAAUUAACUAAAAUGCAGUAUUAAGCUGAAUAUUUGAAAUCUUCUGUUUGGAAGAAAUUAUUAGCACCAUGUUAACCUUUUAUAUUUCCUGAAUAUGCUUUUAAAAAAUUUUAUGAGAAUAUUGUAAGACCUUGAUUAUCACAGGUCUCUAUUACCGCACCACAUUUUUGACUGGCUUCUGUUAUUUUGAAAGGUAGAAUCCCUGUAGUGCAUGAUGUGAUCCCCUGAUGAAUCUAGCUCAAAAACCCAUUUUAUUUUGUUGGUCCCUGUCUUACUCUCUUGCUGACUUUCAUGAUCAUCCAUAAUUUGAUUUCGUUUUAGAUAUACAUAUCCAUUUCUUAGUGCUACAUCAUGAGUCCAUGCCACGUUAAUUAUUGAUGGGUUGACUGGUUUACUUAUUUUUCAUAUUUGUUCUAUGGAUAUUUGUAUUAUAUAUAAAGCAGUGAAUGAGUCAGAAACAAUUACUGUAGUCAUGGAGCUUACAUUAAAUUUAUUCUUUGCAAUGAUUCACACACAAUGACUAUUUCUGUUCUUGUUCAUAAAAUUUACCCCCUUUCCAUGUAUUUCUACCAGCACUGCAAAUCUUGCCUAGUCUUGAAGGCACAGAUCAAUUUUAAUCUUCCUAAUGAAAGCUUUCUAACUCACACUGAGCCUGGAAAUUCAAUUUUUAAUUACAUAUUAUCUUAUGUAUUUUUAAGUGUUUUUUUUUUUAAACUUUGUUGAGUGUAGACCCAUUUGUUCUUUACAUUCCUAUGGCACAGCAAGACUCUUCAUCAUGAUCAUUUGUAGAGUUCUUUCUUAGCCCACUCGUUCCAAAUUGCUGCACCUGAGGGAUUAGGCCUCUGGGUACAUUUGUUUAAAAACCAUCACAGAGAAUCCUGGUUAAGAGUCACUAACAUUGGACACAGCACACAUUGAUUAAUGGAUGAACUGAUUGAUCUGUGUAUUAGCUGCAUUUCAUAGCCUGCCCUACACAGCCUCAAAGAAGUUAAAUUACCUUGUCUAUGCCUCUGCUCUACAAUAUUCAUUUGGAAUAUUCAUAUGAAAGAUAAGAACAUUAGUGCAGUGUCCUCCUUUAUCUUAUUUUAUUCGUUUUUGGGAAAAAAAAAUUGACAACAGAUGGCUUUAAACUUAUUUUUAAUGAUGGGAGGAAAAUUCCAGCGAAACCUACCAUUUAUUUUAUUUUAUACAAAAGAGAUUUUCCAUGACAGAUUUUGCAAAGUAAAAUAAAAGAACGUGGAGAGAAAACAAGAAUCUUAUAAAAAUGUUUUUAUUAAAUUAAAAUAUUGAGAUAACCCAUAGAAGACAUGAAUUGGAGAAAAGUGUUAUUUCUUAAUGUUUUAUAGUUGAAAGAAUUAGCAGAAUUAUGGUCUUAUUGUGAUGAAUCAUGGAUGAAGUAAUUUGGUCUUCUUUGCAAUGUGGAGGUAACAGGCUUUUGAAAUUAUGACUAAGUGGUCAAAUAAGCAAUUCAAUAACCUAUUAAGAAGGUAUAUGGUCAAGCUGUCUUUGUAUGAAUGGGUGUGACUAUGGGAAGGCAACUUGAAUGCAUAUCAAUCUAAAAGAUUGUGAUUCAAGAAAAUGAAGAAAGAUUACAUGAGAACUAUGAGACCCAAAUAUAAAUGGGAUUCUAGUGUCCUGCUGACAUAAAAAAAUAAUAAAUAUUAAAUAAAUAUUAAAAAUAAUCUAAAAUAUAUGUUGUAUUCACCAAUUUUCGUGUUUUUAGGACAUAAGAGAUGAUUACUGUCAAUUUUCUUUCCCCAUCAGAGUUUAGUAAGCAAAAGUUCACACAAACAGGUAAACAAACAAAAUUAAAAAAAAAUCCUUUUGACUAUGCCACAUUAGUUAGUUGCAAAUCACCUCUUCCACAAAAUCAAAGUGUAAAAUUGGAGCAAAAUUUUUAAAAAAACUUUUGUUUGUAGACAUCACUAACAUUAUUGUUAGUGAAGAAAAAACAGUCAGAAUUUUAAAAGAACAAAUACUAGAGUAAAAGGAAAUUACAGAGAUGAGUUUUAUGAUUUUAUAUUAAAAGAACACUAAGAAAAUUCAUAAAUAUCAUUUCCCAUUCUUCUUCCUUCUUCUACCACCUGGCAACAUGUAUACAAAAUUAAUGAAAGUUAUUUUAAGCUAAAGAAAAAUUUUCCAAUAUGGAAUGAUGGAAUUUUGUAAAGGAUUGUAGAGAAAGGUAUGGCAUAAGUAAAAUGUAGUUAAAUCAAAAUUAUAAAUGCAUAAAAAUAGUAACAAUGCCUUGUGAAGGACAAAUAUAUAGAAUUAAUAUAAAUUAAUAUAAAUCAUAUUAGAGUUACCACGUGGAAAAAGAGAGUUCUAAGAUUUUCCAGAAUAUGACAUAGGAAUAGCAAUGGAAAAUUCUUUUUACUUUGUUGUAGGUCAAUAUUUCUUAAACAUGAAACAAUAUUUUCUAACCAUAAAGGAAGAGAUUGUAGUCGAGAGAGAUCAAAUUGUCUGCUCAUUAAAAGAUACUAUGUGAGAGUAAAAAGCCACAGCAUGAAAGAACAAACAAUAUGUAUAACUGAUAAAUAUGUGUAUGCAGAAUAUAUUUCAAAACUCUUAAAACAAUAAGGAAAAAGCCUACAUAGCAAAAUAUAAAAAAUUAGCAAUAAAUAUGUUAAAAUUGUUCAACUUCAUUCAUUUUUAGGACAAGAAAAGCUAAAAUCAUGAUGAGAUAUAGUUGCACACAAGCAUUGUUAAAAUGAAUUACACUAAUAAUACCCUAUAUUAGCCAAGAUGUAGCAUAAAUGGAACUCUCAUACUGCAGUGAUAUCUACAAAUCUGAAUGCUUACAUACUCUAAGUAAGUAAUUUCACUUUUAUGCAUCUAGCUAUCAGAACUGUGCAUGUCUAUAUCCCAAAACAUAUAUACAAGAAAGUUCAUAACUUACUUUAUGUAUAAUAAUCAAAACUUGGUAAAUGAAUUACCCUCAGAAAUAAGAUGAGUAAAUAAAUUACGCUAUUUUCACACAAUGAGCUAUUAUACAGCUAUGAAAAUCAAUGAAAUAUUGCUAUAGUAAUAGCAUGGAUGAAUCUAAGGCCAUUAUUGUUAGUGAAGAAAAAACAUGCAUAUUAAUAUGUAGUAUAGGAUUCAAUGAUAGAAAUUUCAAAAGUGACCAAAACUUAUUAAUGGUGUUGAACACUAGGACAAUGGUUGUCUUUGGAUGGGCAGUCCAGUUGUGAUUAGAAGGCACACAUUAGAGCUUCUUAUGUUUUGGUAAUAUUUUAUUUCUUGACCUAGCUGUUUUGACUAGAGUUUGUUCAUUUUAUGAAAAUUCACUAAUCUGUGUGUUCAUCAUCUUUUUAUUCUUUAGCUCAUGAUAUGAACUGAAUUGUGUCCCCUGUCCUCAAUCCUGAUGUUAAUGCCCCGACUGACUCCCAUUGUGAUAACAUUUGGAGAUGGAGUCUUUGGGAAAUAAUUAAAGUUAGAUGAGUUCUUGAGGGUGAUGUCCUGCCCUGAUGGGUUUAAUGUACUUAUAAGAAGAGGCAACAGAGCUUGCUCUCAUGAGCACAGAGGAAAGGCCAUGUGAGAACAUAAUGAGAAGGUGGCUUUCUGCAAGCUGAAGAGAACCCCCACCAGGGACUGAAUUAGCCAGAGCUUUGAACUUGGAUUUUCCAGCGUUCACAACCGUGAAAAAUAAAUGUCUCUUGUCUAAACCACCCUGUCUAUGUUAUUUACUAAGAAAGCCCAAGUUGACUGAGACAGUCUAGAAGCUUCAGGAGGGUAAAAACAACAUACUCUGUAUCUUGUAUCUCUGUAAACAGCAUUGCGCCUGUCAAAAAGUAGAUGGUAAGAGGUGUUUAAAUACCUGCUUCCUUUUAAUGUGCUCUGUCAGUGACAGCAAAAAUCUUAUGUCCUUUCUUUAGUUUGUUUUUAUAAAAAUGAACCAUCAUGUAAGAUAUCAUAUUACAACAGUACAAUAAGUAAGGUUGAACAUGUUUUUUCAAAUACACCCCCUUGCAGUUUCCUUGCAUUCCCUGCCUUUCACCCCACCCACACUUUUUUUGGAUGCUCAGAUCACUGGUUUAGAAUCCUUUGUGGGGUGAUCCACCUUAUCUUGCAAAGUGAUGUUACAACUUGGGCAUAUCUUUCCUGAGUCAAACCAUAAUUGAAAAGUCAUGUGUUUUUCUAGUGCUGUAUAAUGCACAUUACUUUCUGGGCCAAUCUGGGAUUCAUAUAUAUAAUCCAGAUGAUAUAUAAAGAUAUCAGUAUGUAUGUUUAUGGAUUAUUGAAAAAUUAAAUCUCACAGUUUUCUGAGGAAGUAUAUGUUCUAUAAUCUAUAAGAAUCAGUGUGAUACUGUGUGUGGUUGUUAAUGCCUGUAAUCCCAGGAGGCUGAGGCAGGAGUAUCUCGAGUUCAAAGCUAGACUCAUCAAUCUCGAGGCACUAAGCAACUCAGUGAGACCCUGUAUCUAAAUAAAAUACAAAAUAGGACUUGGGAUGGACUCAGUGAUUGAGUGCCCCUGAGUUCAAUCCCUAGUACCAAAUCAUCAUAUCAUCAUCAUCAUCAUCAUCAUCAUCAUCAGUGUGGUUUUGAUGUUAGAUCAAAUAUUACAAAUAUUUCUAAUAUACAUUUUUUCACUGAUGUUUUUUCAUUUGGUUUUUAACUCUCCCAUAUCUUUGUUGCUUAUUUUUUUAGCCAUUUGAACAGCACUGCUCAAUAAUCAUGUUCAGAUAUGAACUGCAUUUGUAUUUCUCAUAUUAAUCUUUUAAAUUCCACUUCACCUUCCCCAAAAGAGAAAAAUGGAAACUACUCAAAGUAACACACGGCAUAAACAUAUAUCUUAAAAUACAAGGACUUCAAAGCGUUAUAACAUAGUCCUUUGCAUUUAUAGAGCACUUUGCUUUUCAAAGAACUUCUCAUAAUUCAUCUUAUUGUAUGUGUGUGUGUAUCUAAUAUACAUAUAUAUUAGAUACAACAUAUAAAGACAAAAACCCCUAUUCUUUAAAAUACCCAUGUCUCAUUCUGUUCCUACAUUAACAGUCUUAACACAUUUGCAUCAUGAUCAGUUACGAGCUAUUCUGCCUUUCACACAUUUCAUUUCAAAAUCACAGCAUUAAGGAGUAAUUGUAAAUAUAACAUGCCUUUCUCCUGAGUUAUUUCAUACUUAAUUUGGUGUGUUGAUUGUAUAUUUUGUCCUUUCUGGCAUUGUCCUCACAAUAGUCUUAAUCCUGUUUUUAAAUAAUCACAGCGUGUACAUCCUAAAGAGUCUUAAUUGAUUAUUACCUUAUUGAUCAUAGUUAAUACUUUUUUCUCUGUUGCUAACUGGUUUUAAAUCCAUUCCUUAUAUGCAUCUGUGUUAAACUGUAGAUUUCCAAUAUCUUUUAUACCUUGAUCCUGCAAGCCUUUCAUCCUUGAGCAAUGACCUCAUAUGAGGUGAUUUUGCAUCUCUCCGUUCUUUUUCCACUUUUGACCUGUGGCAAGGUUUUUCCCUGAGACGUCAUAUCUCCUCUGAGCAGCAUUGACAAUCCCUGCUACAAGAUUGAAUCUCAUCCACACUGAUUUCAAUUGCUGCUUUUCAAUUGUUUGGGCUUACUGUUCCAUAAAGCAAUAAAAAAACUACUCUGUACAAAGAUAUCCCACAUUCAACUGGUAGCAGGUAAACAUAAUUAAUGUCUAAAAGACAAAGGAUUAAAGUGUUCAAUGGAACUGUGUGUUCCUAAGAAAGCUCCUAAAUUUUUUUUGUGCUAAAACGUCAUUGACAUUUAUUGAGUAUCCUAAUAAGUGUUAAUUGAUAAGCAUAAUAAAUCCCUUUAUAAAUUUCAUUUCUAAAUUAAUCUCCAAACUAUUUAUUAGGAUUUAAUAGCCAUUUUUAAUUCCCAUUAUAUUUUCUUUAUUUUAUAUUCAUCCUAACCUAGUUAUUUUUAUUGAUUGUAAACACUAGUAAUUUUGCAUUUAUUUUGUUCUAAAGAAGUUAUCUUUUCUGACAUCAUCAUUGUGAUUCUGUUCUUGCAGUAACUGGGAAUAAUGGACUUAGUGUUAAAAUUUAUAAAUGUAUUUUUUAAAAUUUAUUAUGUGUUACAUUGGUGUUAAGUUAGUUGUUUCCAAUUAUAAAAUCUGUUUUACAUAAGUAUGUGUGUAUAUAUGUAUACAUAUAUAUGGAAAUCUAAUAUUAUAAAUAGAGGGCUUCAUAGAUAUUUUCACAUCAUAUUUUACAUCAGAUCCUAUGUAUCAGAGCAGAAUAGCUCAGUAAUGUCCAGGACAAGGAGUCUGGUUAUACCGGAGAAUUAUGAAGAAUAUGCCAUUGUAGACAAAAAGGGGACAUAAUCAGAUAGAAAAUUGGCUCAUAUUGGAGAAGGAGGUAGCAAAUACCUAGGUAGAGAAGCUAAAUCCAGAGUCUAAAUGAUCAGCGGUAGGAUUUUCAGUUAGAUUAGUAAUUCAUCCAGAAGCACUUUACUACUCAAUUAUUUUGAAAAACAAUGCAGAGGCAAAUACAUUGUUACUGGUUUAAGAAUUAUGAUAAAUUUAGUAUAGCCAAUUUGGAAAGCAUUAUGAAGAUUCCUCAAAAGACUCCAAAUGGAACCAACAUGUGACCCAUCCAUCUCCCACCUUAGUAUUUAUCCCCCCAAAAAUAAAAUCAUCAGACUCUAGUGAUACAUGCAUACUAAUGUUUAUAGCAGUGCAAUUCACAACAACCAUGUAUGGAACCAGCCCAGGUUCCCAUCAACAGAUGAAUGGAUAAAGAAAACACGGUAUGUAUGCACAAUACAUACUCAGCCAGAAAGAAAAGUGACAUAAUGACAUUUGCUGGUAUAAUGAUGGAACUGGAGAACAUCAUGCUAAGUGAAAUAAGCCAGACAAAGAAAGUCAAGGAUCAGAUGUUUUCUUUCAUAUGUGAAAGCUAGGGAGAAAAAAGGAUUUUUUUUCAUAAAGGUGGUCCCAUGGAACAAACAAGGAAGGACAGCAGAGUACAAGAAGGGGACAAAGUGAGAGGAAGGAGGGGUGAAAAAGGGAAGGAACUGGUGAAUCAAAUUGACCAAAUUAUACUAUGUGCAUGUAUGAAUAAUCACAAUGAAUUCCAUUUUAUGUAUAUUUAUAAUGUACCAUUAAAAACAAUAAAAAAAUAGAAGCAAGACCAAUAGAGUGGAGAAAGGGGAUCAGUGGGAGGGAGGAUAAGAGGCAAGGGGAAAAUACUGGGGAUUGAAAUGGAGCAAAUUAUAUUACAUGCAAGUAUCAAUAUGUCAAAAUGAACCCCAUUAUUGUAUAUAACUAUAAUGCACUAAUAAAAACAUUAAAAAUAAUUAUGUAGAAACAGGUUUUCAAACAUUGUCUCCAGUUGCCCCACUUCUGUCUAAUUGAUUGGCAAAGAGACAUUGGUAAUUCAAGAACCACAUCUGAUUAGCUUAGCAACCUCAGAAGAAAAACUCUUCAGAGAGCUUAUUUAUUUAUUUUUUAACAACCAACAGUCUGUUUAAUACAAUAUUUACAAAUGGCAAACUUUGCUUCUGCCAUAAAUAUUCUCUUUUUUUAACAUUUCAUUAUAAAAGCAACAAAAAUAAUUUUAUUUUUCUUCCCUAAAGUGAAAACAGAGAAGCAGUGAAUGGCUUUUCUUUUUAGUUGAUAUUAACUAACUUAGAACUCCUAAGUAUACCUUACCUGGCUAAUGUUUUUCAUAUAGGCAAUUUUUCCAAUAUAAUUCUUUCUUUUGUCCCAGUGCUGGAGAUAGAACUCAGGGCCUCACAUGAGAGCUUAGAUUAAGGGGACUCACUAAAGAUUCUGUUUAUCCAUUUUGAGUCAUUCAUGGACCUAUUUCUGAAUCAAGCAUAGUGCUUAGGGUGUGCAUAAGACAUAAGGCAGUCAGCUUUCCCUCAACCUUGCAAAAUACCCUGCUCACAAAGAACAACUAGCUCUGUUAGUGGAAAAGGGAAGUGAAUCCAGCCAGGAGACAUCAACAGAUACGUAGUUUCUAUGGUCAAAUUUUGGAUGAUCAUGGCUGAUAAAGCUGGAGGAGGUAAGAACCAUUCCUAAAAACAUAGUAACCACUAGAGAAGGACAGAGUCAAACAGAGAAAUACUGACAUUUAAAAGCACCUAGAUUACAAGAGCCUGGCUGAUAUGGCCUGAACACAGGAUAGAGAGAGAUGUUCAAAGGUAUCAGAACUUUGGCAGAAUUCUAUGCAUGGCAUGUGGAAAUCAGCUGACACAGUGACAUCAAUAAUGAACCAAUAUCUUGGGAGACAUGGGCCCCACAGUCACUUUCUUAUCAAGGCCCAAAUUGAUAAGCACAAUUUAAAAUAGUAUAUGAGUAGUAUUAAAGUCACAAGUAGAAUAAAUAGAGGCACAUUCCUGGAAUUGUUGGAGGGUCACAGACCUUCUUAUAAUAUGUAUCUCCUUUCCAAACAUGUAGUCAUUAUCAGGAAAUUUGAUUAUCAAAUAUUGUAUUAUUAUUCAAAAUAAUUCCCAUUAUUUUUCCCCAAGCUGGUGUUUGCUAUAGAGGACUUUGUUCUAUAUGAGUCUUCUAUGUUCCUAGAUAGUUAAAAAUCUAUUUUCUUGCAUGAACUUUUAAUCAUUAUUCCCACACCUUGUUUUUUCAUUACUUCUGUUGUGUUCCAGGACACCAAUUAUCUCAGCUCUACUAAUCACGAGUAGAGAGGUUUUAAUUGAGUUACGUAAAGCUUUGUAGUUAUUAGUAUCCUCUUCUGUAAAAUGGAAAUGAUUCCUCUAGUCAUCUCAUAAAGUUCCCUUGAGGAUUUAAGAAGUUGAUUUAUACUGAGUGUGGUGGCACACACCUGUAAUCCCAGUGACUCAGGAGGCUGAGGCUGGAGAAGUGCAAGUUCAAGGUCAGCCUUAGUAACUUAGACCUGUUUCAAAAAAAAAAAAAAUUAAAAAAGGACUGGGAUGUAGCUCAGUGGUAAAUUACCUGGAGUUUAAGCCCUAGUAUCAAAGUAAAAGAAGAAGCUGAUUUAGGUAAAACAUCCAGCAUAGAGUCUGGCCCUUAGUACACACACAGUUUAUUUAUUUUUUUUCCCAUAGAAAAGAGUGAUGAGGGGCUGGGGAUGUGGCUCAAGCGGUAGCGCGCUCGCCUGGCAUGCGAGCGGCCCGGGUUCGAUCCUCAGCACCACAUACAAAACAAAGAUGUUGUGUCCACCGAUAACUAAAAAAUAAAUAUUAAAAAAAUUCUCUCUCACUCUCUCUUAAAAAAAAAAGAAAAGAGUGAUGACACAGGUCCUGUCCUUUUCCACACAGAGGUCUUAAUUCCUAUAUUUUGAUUGAAAUUACAUAAAACUUACACAAAAUUCUGAUAAAUUCAUGGGUCAGUGAAUUCUGAGUUCUUUAUUAUGAGUUCACAAACAAGAGAGGUUUUAUCCUUUGGAUAAAAGUUGCAGAGGAAGAAGAGAUAAAAAGACAGAAGAAUCAGGGAUUAUAGGAUGAUAAAUUUUUCAACAGGGUCCCAUAAUGCAGGCCCAAGUGUGUAGAAGAAGCUGUCUUCAAGGGUUGUUAUAACACUCAUGCACAGAAAACAUUACUUCCAGGGUCAAAAUGAUAAAAGUGCAACACAGAGUCAAAGAGAUGAGCUUCACACUAUUAUUUUUUUAUGAUAUGCAGAAUGACAAAAUUGAAUGGUAGCUCUCCCUGUGAAGACUCAGCAGUUUGGAAAGUGUUAGAAGACAAAAUUCUAGGGCAUCACAAUGUGGUCCACAUUUGAUCCCAACCCAUGAACUUCUGACACAGAGACUGAAAGUAAGCAUUUAGAAGCUUUGAUAGCAGUUUGACAUUGUUGUGACAUUCAAGAGUAUGCUGUUUUUCUAGAAAAUCAUUUUUCAUUGUGUUUUUCAGAUGUAUUGGUUUUCUGUCAGAUUAGGAGAGAAAACUGUUCCUUUGGCAUAGGUAGUUUGAGGAGAACUGCUCUAGGGAAUGUUCUGUGAAAUAGUGGAGAUUGCUGCAGCUCUGGAGGGGCAAGUUGCCUCUCUUAAGUGGGUUUCUGGUAGACCAAGAAACCGAAAUGGAAAGUCUUGAAUGAGUUUAUCCCAGAAAUCAUAUGUGCUGAACACAGGGUUUCAGUUACUUGCUAUGUGCAAAUAUAGUAAAACAUACAUCUGUCUUCCUUUGUUUACUUUAGUAAACAAAGUGCCUACUAGACUUUCAGAAAAAAACUGGAUGAGUUUUCAAGCAAGGAGUUGAAGUCCUCCUGCAACAGGAGGAAAGGUCAGGAAAGGUCAGUGAGCCAAUAAAAUUUGGGUUACGAAUAUUUUUGUUGAAGCAUUUAUUCUAGCCUAGGAAUUUGGGGUUUUAUGUAAUGUAUCUGGCUAUGCAUAAGUGAAAUCAGCUUAUGAAUUAAAACUGAAGCAAUAGUCAUAAAAAAUUUUAAAAAAAGAAAACAAGAAUCAAGGUAGCUGCCUCAUUAUUCCAAGAAAUAAUAAAGCAAAGGGUAGUCUAAGCUUCUCUGUAGGUGCAAGGGGAGUCUGAAUAAUAGAAAAUCACUUAGUGCACUGGGGAAAGACAUCAGGAAAGAGCCCUGGUUAUAUUUAUCUGAGGAAAUAAACCAGAUCUUUGGGGAAAACAAAAUCAAGGACCAGAAAUAAUUUACAGCUUUUUUUUCCUGUUAAUUCUGUUCAAGUACACCCCAAAGUAGAUUGCAAUGAGGGAAUUAGACGCUUUUAAACAGCAGACAAAGAAAAUUCUGAGUGGGAGGUAAGCAGGUAUCAGGGACUUAAACCUUGUCAUCCAAUAUAGAGGGUAUGCAAAUCUGAUGCAUUGAGAUAAAUUUCUUUCCAUAACAUCACUCUUCUGUAAACAGUUCUUACAAAGCCACAGAGCUGGGUCAUCCAAUACUAUCUUCCAAUUCCAUAUACAUAAGAAAAGUCUAAUUAGUUAGUGGGAAAGCCAAAGUUUAAGUUUUCUAACUGAACAGUGUUCCUUCAUGACAUGAAGUAUUUAUUUAUUUAUUUAUUAAUAUUUUAUUUUUUAGUUGUAGAUGGAUACAAUAUUUUUAUUUUAUUUGUAUGUGUUGCUGAGGAUCAAACCCAGGGCCUCACAUGUGCUAGGCAAGCGAUCUACUGCUGAGUUAUAACCCCAGCCCUGACAUGAAGUAUUUAAAUUUGUUUCCUCAUGGUGGGUUUUGCAAAAACCAUUCAUUCAUACACAUGUAUUCUGCCUGUGUAUGAUGGCAGCACGUACUUCUGCCAAAGGUGCACCAAAAUAGUCAAUAAUUUAUCAAAUUCUAUGUGCAGACCCUGUGUCUCAGGGGUUCCAGCCUUACUCAGUAGUAUCAUCAUACAAUUUUAAAUUCUUCCUGAAAUAUUCUAUAACUUCUGUCUUACAGAGAACACCACACUCUCCUGCAAGGAUUCUCUCCAAUAAUAAAACAAAAUCAAGGAAAAAAAUCUUUCUUUGUCAAUGUGUUUAGUUGAUUAUCAAAUCAAUUUCAAGUUUUAAAAAUAAUUUACCAUGUCUAUAAGAAUGCUGUAUUUUGACUACCUGCUCUCUUUUUUAAGUCAUGUUGACCUCCUGGGGCACAUCUCUUUCAUUAAUUCCUUGAUCUUUGCUGUUUUUGUCGUGGUGUCUCGUAAUUUUUCUCUGAAGGUUUGCACUUGCCAUUUCUCUAGUAAUAAGUACAUGCAACCAGUAUAUGGUUUUCAGCCCUUUUUAGGAAUCCUAGUAAUUAAAUGUAGUAAUCUGCUAAAUGAUAUAUAGUAAUGUUUCACCCCUUGAUUUUAUGGGUUAGGUAUUGACUUUAACUCACCCAGUUAUAAAUAAAAUCUAUUGAAGCUAAAUACCUUCCUCCCUAGUAUCCUUUCCCAAUUUAAUUGCAAUAUUAAUCUUUUUUGCAUUUACACUAAAACUGCAUAGAUUUUUAAAGCAGGGAUGAGAAGUGCUUUGGCAACAAGACAGACCUUCCCUUCCUAUGACUAGUUUUAUGAGGCUUUUAAAAUCCAGCAGCCUCUUCCCUGUCUUAAAAUAACCCACAGCCUACUUCUCAGAAAUCACAAUGUUCACCUCUUUUAGAUGUUUCUUCAGGUAUUUACCUCUGUAUUUUUAAAUAAUAUAUUUUACUGAUGUUUGCUUUUAGUUGUUGAGGCUCUCUCUCUCUUAAGCAUCUCCACAUUCAUGUUCCCUUCCCCUACCCACCACAGUGCGAUUAUAGCGUAAUGUGUGCUUAUGCCAAUGCUGAGCUUAACUUUUAAGAACAUACAAUUUUAAUUCAUACAUAAACCACAUUUUUACUAUAACUGCACAUGUGUUUUUGUACAUCUUUGUUUUCUAUACAAUUAAUAUUGAUUCUCUUUUUGUUUGUCUUGUUUUUCCAUGAAAAACUCACUAAAACAUUCUCAAACUCUUUACCAUAGGAAAAUAAAUCUAUCAACAAAUUUACAUAAUCUAGAUAUCUUUCAAUUUUAUUUUCUUAUUCAGACACACCCUUCCUCAAAACCUCUGUCUUCUUGUAUAUAGUGGUUGUUUUCCUAGUCUGACACACCCUCAUCAUCUUGGGGUCUCCCUUCCUUAUGAGUCUAGGGUUGAUGUUGUUCUCUUUUGAACACUCUGAUUUCUGUUUCUUGAUUAACUUGUUCAUUUUGCUAGGUUAUCUUUUUUUAGUUCCCCGAGAAAUUGCGCCAGGAUGGUAAAUUUGAGUUCUUUCAUGUCUAAGGACUCUAAUCAGUCUUGAUUGAUAGUUGCUGAAUUCUAGGUUGGGAAUCAUAUUACCCCAGAACUGUGGAGGGAUUAUAUGAAAAGGCAUAAUUUUGUUGAACAGGGGGAAAAUGCAUCCUGUUUUAUUUUCCUCUUUGCCUUCUUUGUAAUUAGGAGGGAAUCUAUAGGCCAGAGUGAUAUAUGUGACUUCCAACCCUGGACCUUGAAACCUCCACAGGAGCUGCCACAAUCUGCAUCUCUCCUGGGAUUGCAACUGAGGCAGAGGAACUGGUGGAGAACUCCAAGUCCUUCGGUGGCAGUAGAGGCACUCUACUAUCAAAAAUAAGACUAAGUCAUCAGCAAGAAUUUCAAAUUGUUUCGUUGAGCCACUAGGAUUGUUUGAUAGUUGUUUGUCAUAGAAAUAAGUCUAUGCCGACUAAGACACAUGCUUCAUUACCUAGUUCUAAGUUUUGUUCAUCAGAGGUCUAAUGAUAUUCUGACGCCUGGUCCUUUGUUUAUAAUCCAAUUAAUCUUCAUCUCUCUCUCUCUCUCUCUCUCUCUCUCUCUCUCUCUUUCUUUUUUAUAAUCCUUACUCUGAGCAAUCUGUGAGCCACUUUAUGUGAG